This 536-nucleotide ribosomal RNA is filed under the name uncultured fungus. Its description in RNAcentral is "eukaryotic LSU rRNA". It matches the Rfam family "Eukaryotic large subunit ribosomal RNA", at positions 23 to 507 of the family's 3401-position model. Lineage: Eukaryota; Fungi. The record is from RNAcentral.
ACCCGCUGAACUUAAGCAUAUUACUAAGCGGAGGAAAAGAAAUCAACGAAGAUUGCCUCAGUAGCGGCGAGUGAAGCGGCAAUAGCUCAAGUUUAGAAUCUGUGAUCGUCUCGGUCGCCGAAUUGUAAUCUAAAGGGGCUAACAAAAGGGGAUGUGGAGGCAUAAGUUCCUUGGAAAAGGACGUCAAAGAGGGUGAAAACCCCGUAUGUAGCCUCAACUGAACCGAAUGUUGACCUUCUGAGAGUCGGGUUGUUUGGGAUUGCAGCCCUAAAUGGGAGAUAAACUUCUUCUAAGGCUAAAUAUUUAUGGGAAACCGAUAGCGAACAAGUACUGUGAAGGAAAGGUGAAAAGAACUUUGAAAAGAGGGUUAAAAGACUUGAAAUCGUUGAGAAGGAAGCAGUAGAAGUGGAUUUAAGUUAGUCAUGAAGCAAGCUAUGUAAGGAACCAGCUCGUAGUAGUUUCGGUACGUCAUUGGCUACCUGCUACGAAGUAAUGGCACUUUAUGGCGAUUUCAUGACUAAAGGGCAGAACCAGGU